RNAcentral lists this ribosomal RNA (492 nucleotides) under uncultured bacterium. Its description in RNAcentral is "partial 16S ribosomal RNA". It matches the Rfam family "Bacterial small subunit ribosomal RNA", at positions 28 to 507 of the family's 1533-position model. The record is from RNAcentral.
GAUGAACGCUAGCUACAGGCUUAACACAUGCAAGUCGAGGGGAAACGACAUCGAAAGCUUGCUUUUGAUGGGCGUCGACCGGCGCACGGGGGAGUAACGCGUAUCCAACCUGCCCACCACUUGGGGAUAACCUUGCGAAAGUAAGACUAAUACCCAAUGAUAUCUCUAGAAGACAUCUGAAAGAGAUUAAAGAUUUAUCGGUGAUGGAUGGGGAUGCGUCUGAUUAGCUUGUUGGCGGGGUAACGGCCCACCAAGGCAACGAUCAGUAGGGGUUCUGAGAGGAAGGUCCCCCACAUUGGAACUGAGACACGGUCCAAACUCCUACGGGAGGCAGCAGUGAGGAAUAUUGGUCAAUGGACGAGAGUCUGAACCAGCCAAGUAGCGUGCAGGAAGACGGCCCUAUGGGUUGUAAACUGCUUUUAUAAGGGAAUAAAGUGAGUCUCGUGAGACUUUUUGCAUGUACCUUAUGAAUAAGGACCGGCUAAUUCCGUG